Molecule: ribosomal RNA, 614 nt
Filed under: uncultured bacterium
Lineage: Bacteria
Description: bacterial SSU rRNA
Rfam family: Bacterial small subunit ribosomal RNA
Source: RNAcentral
AGAGUUUGAUCCUGGCUCAGAGCGAACGCUGGCGGCACGCCUAACACAUGCAAGUCGAGCGAGAAAGUGACUUCGGUCGCGAGUAAAGCGGCGAACGGGUGAGUACAACGUGGAUAAUCUACCCUAAGGUCUGGGACAACCCCGAGAAAUCGGGGCUAAUACCGGAUAAGACCACAGUAUCCAAGGAUACAGCGGUAAAAGAUUUAUCGCCUUUGGAUGAGUCCACGCCCCAUCAGGUAGUUGGUAAGGUAAAGGCUUACCAAGCCUAAGACGGGUAGCCGGCCUUAGCGGGUGAACGGCCACAUGGGGACUGAGACACGGCCCUGACUCCUACGGGAGGCAGCAGUGGGGAAUAUUGGGCAAUGGGCGAAAGCCUGACCCAGCGAUGCCGCGUGAGGGAUGAAGGCCUUCGGGUUGUAAACCUCUGUCAGGAGGGACGAUGGGACUUUGUCUUGACGGUACCUCCAGAGGAAGCCCCGGCUAACUCCGUGCCAGCAGCCGCGGUAAUACGGAGGGGGCAAGCGUUGCUCGGAAUUACUGGGCGUAAAGGGUCCGCAGGCUGUCAGGCAAGUUGGUUGUGAAAUCCCAAGGCUUAACCUUGGAAUUGCAUCCAA